This 103-nucleotide transfer RNA is filed under the name Rhizoctonia solani 123E. It matches the Rfam family "tRNA". Rfam says of the family: Transfer RNA (tRNA) molecules are approximately 80 nucleotides in length. Lineage: Eukaryota; Fungi; Basidiomycota; Agaricomycetes; Cantharellales; Ceratobasidiaceae. The record is from Rfam by way of RNAcentral.
GGGCAUGUAGCGCAGUUGGUAGCGCGCUCGCUUAGCAACAAGUUGGGAGUUGAACCCUAACGUAAGCUGCGAGAGGUCUUGGGUUCAAUUCCCAACCUGUCCA